Non-coding RNA from Ictidomys tridecemlineatus (thirteen-lined ground squirrel), 85 nucleotides. NCBI's taxonomy places the organism in Eukaryota, Metazoa, Chordata, Mammalia, Rodentia, Sciuridae. The record is from Rfam.
AGGCCCUUCCUUCCCAGCCCAGCUCCCGCUCACCCCUGCCACGUCAAAGGAGGCAGAAGGGGAGUCCAGAGCAGAGAGGGGACUG